RNAcentral lists this ribosomal RNA (459 nucleotides) under uncultured bacterium. Its description in RNAcentral is "partial 16S ribosomal RNA". It matches the Rfam family "Bacterial small subunit ribosomal RNA", at positions 338 to 795 of the family's 1533-position model. The record is from RNAcentral.
CCUACGGGGGGCAGCAGUGAGGAAUAUUGGUCAAUGGCCGGAAGGCUGAACCAGCCAAGCCGCGUGAGGGAGGAAGGCGCAGAGCGUCGCAGACCUCUUUUGCCGGGGGACAAAAGGCCGGACGGGUCCGGUUCUGAGGGUACCCGGAGAAAAAGCAUCGGCUAACUCCGUGCCCGCAGCCGCGGUACUACGUAGGAUGCGAGCGUUAUCCGGAUUCAUUGGGUUUAAGGGGUGCGAAGGCGGGCCUUUAAGCCGGCGGUGAAAUCGCGGGGCUCACCCCCGUCGAGCCGUCGGAACUGGGGGCCUUGAGUGCGGCGGAGGCAUGCGGAAGGAGCGGUGUAGCGGUGAAAUGCAUAGAUAUCGCGCAGAACCACGAUUGCGAAGGCAGCGGGCCGUGCCGCCACUGACGCUGAGGCACGAAAGCGCGGGGAUCGAACAGGAUUAGAUACCCCAGUAGUC